RNAcentral lists this ribosomal RNA (253 nucleotides) under uncultured bacterium. RNAcentral's name for it is "partial 16S ribosomal RNA". It matches the Rfam family "Bacterial small subunit ribosomal RNA", at positions 524 to 776 of the family's 1533-position model. The record is from RNAcentral.
UACGGAGGGGGCAAACGUUGCUCGGAAUCAUUGGGCGUAAAGCGCACGUAGGUGGCUUGUUAAGUCGGGUGUGAAAUCCCUGGGCUCAACCCAGGAAGUGCACUCGAAACUGGCGAGCUUGAGUACUGAAGAGGGUCGCGGAAUUCCCGGUGUAGAGGUGAAAUUCGUAGAUAUCGGGAGGAACACCAGUGGCGAAGGCGGCAACCUGGGCAGAUACUGACACUGAGGUGCGAAAGCGUGGGGAGCAAACAGG